This 309-nucleotide ribosomal RNA is filed under the name Triticum aestivum (bread wheat). Its description in RNAcentral is "partial small subunit ribosomal RNA". Lineage: Eukaryota; Viridiplantae; Streptophyta; Magnoliopsida; Poales; Poaceae. The record is from RNAcentral.
ACAUCUCUCAAGGCCAACUGCCCCCGGACGACCGGGUCCGGUGACGGCAGCCUAGCACCGCUGGACACGACGACGCCCAACGCGUUCGACAACGCAUACUACCGCAACUUGAUGUCACAGAAGGGGCUCCUGCACUCCGACCUGGUUCUGAUCAACGACGGACGCACCGCGGGCCUGGUCCGGACGUACUCGUCGGGGUCGGCACGGUUCAACAGGGACUUCACGGCGGCCAUGGUGAGGAUGGGGAACAUCAGUCCGCUCACCGGGACGCAGGGGCAGGUCAGGCUCAGCUGCUCCCGGGUGAACUAA